This is a long non-coding RNA of Acanthaster planci (crown-of-thorns starfish), 1019 nucleotides long. RefSeq lists it as uncharacterized. NCBI's taxonomy places the organism in Eukaryota, Metazoa, Echinodermata, Asteroidea, Valvatida, Acanthasteridae. The record is from RefSeq and is a predicted model, not a curated record.
GGCGCUGUUUAUCGAAAGUGUACGUGCUACCUUGGUACGUGCAUAUGCAUUGUGGAAGAGUUCGUUCAAUUUUGCUUCAAAAAAACUGCUUAUUCCUGGAAUUGUUUGUGGGGUUAGACAGCCUUUUGUGUGAGUGGAGAGGUAGCCAAAUGAUGGAUUGAGGUCGAUGAUCGCCAUUUGAUGUCAUAACGAAGGAAUGUUUUGGCUCCAUUGGCAAGAAGGGGUCACAUGACAAGGUGUUCAAAAGGUAGUGGUGUUGCUGGUGGGUUGAUGUCACGGUUGUCGUCUUUCAAAUAUGCAUGAUGUCACCCACAUCGGUUGGUCACAGCUGGCUGAAGGCAAGAGUCGAUCGCACAGAUGUCCAGAAGGGUCAGGGAAGAACUCAAACUGGAACCCACCUUGAAUGGAGAAAAAAAAGAAAACAGUUUCUCAUUCACUAAAAACUGCGAUCUCUGUAAACCAACUGUGAUUUCAUAAAGAGCUUUGAACACUCAACAUAUGCAGCUGUAGCUUACAGUCUUUGAAAUUUGGGGAGUUGUAUUUCUUGGAUAGGUAAGAUACCUCAUAUGUUUUAGAUGAUCAUGAGCCAGUUUUUUUCAUUGGUAAUUCACCAACACCAGGAUCAUCCAUAUGUACGUGUAGGCCUAUGCAGUGUUGACUGUACACUUGAUCUUAACUGCCACAUGCUGGAUAGGCAAGUAGGAAAAAGGAUCGCGACACACUUUAAAUUUGCUAGUGGGUGUUUGCCCGAAUUUAGAGAUGCCUUGCAUAAUAUAAGUAAUACUAAUUAAAUGUAGCAUUUAUUUUUGGUUGAUAUUUAACAUUUAAUUUUGGUCUUCUCCGUAUUGGAAGUCGGUAAACAAGUUCCUGAAGGAAGGCAUUGUCAACUUGCAAUACCUAGGGAAGUUGAUACAUGUACUGACAAAAUGAUGUGAAUUUGUAGGACACGACACUUGAAUCCAUAGUAAUGUUUUUUGAUCAGUGUGUUUGAAUUAAAGAAAUAAAACGAGGAACAACAA